RNAcentral lists this ribosomal RNA (253 nucleotides) under uncultured bacterium. RNAcentral describes it as "partial 16S ribosomal RNA". It matches the Rfam family "Bacterial small subunit ribosomal RNA", at positions 524 to 776 of the family's 1533-position model. The record is from RNAcentral.
UACGUAGGGUGCAAGCGUUGUCCGGAAUUACUGGGCGUAAAGAGCUCGUAGGCGGUCUGUCGCGUCGGCUGUGAAAACCCGAGGCUCAACCUCGGGCCUGCAGUCGAUACGGGCAAACUAGAGUACUGCAGGGGAGACUGGAAUUCCUGGUGUAGCGGUGAAAUGCGCAGAUAUCAGGAGGAACACCGGUGGCGAAGGCGGGUCUCUGGGCAGUGACUGACGCUGAGGAGCGAAAGCGUGGGGAGCGAACAGG